RNAcentral lists this ribosomal RNA (405 nucleotides) under uncultured bacterium. RNAcentral describes it as "bacterial SSU rRNA". It matches the Rfam family "Bacterial small subunit ribosomal RNA", at positions 355 to 776 of the family's 1533-position model. The record is from RNAcentral.
UCGGGAAUAUUGCGCAAUGGAGGAAACUCUGACGCAGUGACGCCGCGUAUAGGACGAAGGUCUUCGGAUUGUAAACUAUUGUCGUUAGGGAAGAGAAAGGACAGUACCUAAGGAGGAAGCUCCGGCUAACUACGUGCCAGCAGCCGCGGUAAUACGUAGGGAGCGAGCGUUAUCCGGAUUUAUUGGGUGUAAAGGGUGCGUAGACGGGAAUUUAAGUUAGUUGUGAAAUCCCUCGGCUCAACUGAGGAACUGCAACUAAAACUGAAUUUCUUGAGUGCUGGAGAGGAAAGCGGAAUUCCUAGUGUAGCGGUGAAAUGCGUAGAUAUUAGGAGGAACACCAGUGGCGAAGGCGGCUUUCUGGACAGUAACUGACGUUGAGGCACGAAAGUGUGGGGAGCAAACAGG